RNAcentral lists this ribosomal RNA (355 nucleotides) under uncultured bacterium. RNAcentral describes it as "bacterial SSU rRNA". It matches the Rfam family "Bacterial small subunit ribosomal RNA", at positions 527 to 881 of the family's 1533-position model. The record is from RNAcentral.
GUAGGGUGCAAGCGUUAAUCGGAAUUACUGGGCGUAAAGCGCACGCAGGCGGUUUGUUAAGUCAGAUGUGAAAUCCCCGGGCUCAACCUGGGAACUGCAUCUGAUACUGGCAAGCUUGAGUCUCGUAGAGGGGGGUAGAAUUCCAGGUGUAGCGGUGAAAUGCGUAGAGAUCUGGAGGAAUACCGGUGGCGAAGGCGGCCCCCUGGACGAAGACUGACGCUCAGGUGCGAAAGCGUGGGGAGCAAACAGGAUUAGAUACCCUGGUAGUCCACGCCGUAAACGAUGUCGACUUGGAGGUCGUGCCCUUGAGGCGUGGCUUCCGGAGCUAACGCGUUAAGUCGACCACCUGGGGAGU